Molecule: ribosomal RNA, 525 nt
Filed under: Aspergillus flavus
Lineage: Eukaryota; Fungi; Ascomycota; Eurotiomycetes; Eurotiales; Aspergillaceae
Description: eukaryotic LSU rRNA
Rfam family: 5.8S ribosomal RNA (bases 143-296)
Source: RNAcentral
GUUUACUGUACCUUAGUUGCUUCGGCGGGCCCGCCAUUCAUGGCCGCCGGGGGCUCUCAGCCCCGGGCCCGCGCCCGCCGGAGACACCACGAACUCUGUCUGAUCUAGUGAAGUCUGAGUUGAUUGUAUCGCAAUCAGUUAAAACUUUCAACAAUGGAUCUCUUGGUUCCGGCAUCGAUGAAGAACGCAGCGAAAUGCGAUAACUAGUGUGAAUUGCAGAAUUCCGUGAAUCAUCGAGUCUUUGAACGCACAUUGCGCCCCCUGGUAUUCCGGGGGGCAUGCCUGUCCGAGCGUCAUUGCUGCCCAUCAAGCACGGCUUGUGUGUUGGGUCGUCGUCCCCUCUCCGGGGGGGACGGGCCCCAAAGGCAGCGGCGGCACCGCGUCCGAUCCUCGAGCGUAUGGGGCUUUGUCACCCGCUCUGUAGGCCCGGCCGGCGCUUGCCGAACGCAAAUCAAUCUUUUUCCAGGUUGACCUCGGAUCAGGUAGGGAUACCCGCUGAACUUAAGCAUAUCAAUAAGCGGAGGA